CACAAACUGUCAGCAAGCUACAAGCUCUAAUAGGCGCAAGCGAGCAAAUGCCCGUCCAAAUUAAUCGGCUAGCAUAACUGCUGUUUUGUCUGCAACCUGGUCGGGCACAUCGCCGCAGGUGCCCAGCCUUCAAGUAAGAAGAUUCAAGAUGUCAGCGCUGAGGCGCAGCACCUGGCAGCUUUGUUACUUCCGUACAAUUACUACCAGAGCGGCGUCGCGCGCGCCCGGCAGGAGGAGUUCAUCCUUCGGGGUCGGCAAGCCAGGGAGCUCGCGGCGCUGGGUCUGCCACCCGUUUACGAACACGCCAAGGGUAACAAACGCCGUGGUGUGACGUGAUGUGAUGUGAUUCGAAACCCAAAAGCGCUUCAAUACCCAAAUCGUCCGCACACCUCAGUACCUGCGGGUCCAGAUAUAAUGUUCCGAACAUUCAUCACCACCAAAAGAACCCAAAUGACGGUCCUUCCUCUGACCUGGCGGCGCUCGGGUCCUCCACUGUCCUGCCCUCAACCUGCUACUGCUGCUACCGCUGCUCAAGGACUCUUGGUGGGCAUACAAGUGUCGACGCAACCAGAGGGAGCACCAACACCAGCAGCAGUAUCAGCAGCAGCAGGGGGCACUACAGACAGCAACAACAACAAGAGCAAGAGCAAG
RNAcentral lists this long non-coding RNA (651 nucleotides) under Volvox carteri. RNAcentral describes it as "long non-coding RNA (VCAR_LNC003189)". The record is from RNAcentral. Lineage: Eukaryota; Viridiplantae; Chlorophyta; Chlorophyceae; Chlamydomonadales; Volvocaceae.